Molecule: ribosomal RNA, 204 nt
Filed under: Triticum aestivum (bread wheat)
Lineage: Eukaryota; Viridiplantae; Streptophyta; Magnoliopsida; Poales; Poaceae
Description: partial small subunit ribosomal RNA
Source: RNAcentral
GUUCUGUUCUGAAGCAAAGAUAUCCGUGGAGGCCGGCUCGUUCGUCCUAUUCUGAUAUUCAUGACCAAGAUGUACUGGAUUCUCAUUCGAAUAGACCCUGAAAGGAGAAGAAGGGCUGAAAUGCCAACAGACCUCUGUCUAUUCUCUAAUUCCCCCAAUGCAAUAGUACCCGUUCCCUAUUCUCUAAUUCCCCCAAUCCAAUAG